AUGCUCUCCUCACCCACCUGUCUGUCCCUGACGCCAUCCCUACGUGCUGAUCCCAGCUGUGCCACACCACCAGGGCUCCACUGUCACUCACCACCUCCAAUCCUCUCUGUUCUCCCCACUCCCUUCACAUCCCAUCCCUCCUUCCACACUCCUUCCAGUGUGCUGUCAUCAGCUGUAUCCCAUCCCUCCCUGCCAUGCUGCGCUCCUCCAUUACCCACCAUGUCCCCUCCCACCCUCGUGUUCCUGAAUCCUACACUGCAUCCUAUCCCUCCUUGUUAUCCAACACCCACCACCUCCCACCCCUCCUUCCUGUGCUCCUCCACUGCCUUCCAUAUCUCACCCUCCAGUCUUCCUGCCACACUUUCAGCCCAUCCCUCUAACCUGCUCCUUCAUUCACCACAUCCUGUUCCUUACCUUCAUUCACCACCACCUUCUCGUGUUUCCUUCUUCACCUUCAGCCUGCUCCAUCCACCUUGCCUUGCUUUGUCUCCAGCUUUUCCUUUCAUAUUCAUGUCAACAGCUCACCAUCUUCUUCAGCUCCCACCACUGUCCCCAAUAUCGUACCGUCAGUUUAUCCCUGCUUAUUCUCCAUUAGCUCCCACCUUCACCCCAACCUCCUCCACUCCUAAUCUUCUCCACAUCUUUAUUCAUCCUCUUCUCUCUUCCUAUCUCUUCUCUCAACCUUCUUCACUUCCCCAUCCCAAAAUCCACCAUCACCUCCCACCAUUUCACCAUUCUUUCAACUGCUAAUGUCACCCAAUUUUACCUUCUCCACCCUCUUUGUGCUUAUCCAUGUCCCAUCUCCUUAUUCAUCCUCCUUCACUGCCCUGCAGUCUUUGUCUUCUUCUGUUCCCUUAGUCUCUCAUUCCUCCUGUCAUCCAUGGCCAUUUCCCAGUGUUUCCUCACCCCUCCUCUUCUUAUCCAUCUCCCCUCCAUCCUUUUCUCCACCACCUGCCAUCUAAUCUAUCCUUGUUUUUCUUUUUGAUUUUGUCAGCCUUCUUCAUUCUCCACUUCCCACUGUCUUCCACCCUUCCCCGUGCCCCACACCACCCACUAUUUGCCUGUCCUUCCUCACCCUCCGCUUCCUACCACCUGCCCAAAAAUCUCCUCAUCCUCCCCAACCUCUCUCUUCAUAUUCAUUGUCCUUUCCACCAUCUUUCAUCUCCUUCACCCUCCAUCUCAUCCUUCAUCCUCCACCUCAGUUCUUCCUGUGACCCUCCACUUCCCAUUGUUCCCCGUACUUUUUCCUGCAGUUUCACCUUUUCCCUGUCCCUCACACUCAACAUCUGGCUAUCUCACUGUCCUCUGUCAUUUGCCUCCCACAGUGUCCCUGUUUCUCUUUAUGCCUCUCCACUUUUCCCUGUCUUUCUAUCCCUCUGUAUCCUCUAAAGUGUCCCACCAACCUCACAGAUUUCCCUCUCCACACCUCCUUGACCUCCAGCUGUCCUUCCUUACCUCACAGCUCCCUCUCUAACUGGCCUUACAUUCUCCUUCAUCUGCUACCUCUGUCCUGACUUCCAAUCUUCUUCCAGCCUGACCUCUCCCAUUCCUCUCUGCACUCUUUUACUCCCAGCACAUCUGACUCCAGCUACAAUUUUCUUCUUCUCUUCCCACUUCUCCUGCCUUAUAUCCCAUCACUUACUGACCCAGGAAAGCCACUGCUAACUCAGCCACCCCUGAUGCACACAAUAAGAAAACAUCUGAAAAGACUUCUGGGCUAGUGCAGCUGGAACUGGUCAUAGGGGAAAAGGGGAUGACCUCUGCCCUUGGAAGGUUUCAGUAAAAUUCAGCCAGAUAAAGUCACCAGUGUCCUGAUCUAACAUUAGCAAUAACUGAUGUGGAACAUGGAGCUUGACCAGAUUCCCUUAGGAUCACUUCCAGCAAUGAAGAAUUUCCAAGAGGGGCAAGAAAGGCCAGGAAUGGCUUUGAAUGCAUUGCUUGGGAUGCUGCAGAACAUGAAGAAUUAUCCCUGCCACUUGCAGCUGCUCCAUGGUGCUCAAGCAGACCCAGCACACACUGCUCCAGCAGGACCAUCCCAUGCUCCCCAAGGACCAUCCCACUGUGCUCAAGCAGGGCCAUCCCAAGCUGCCUGAGCAGGACCACCCCAGCAGAACCAUUCCCUGCUGUUCCAGCAGGACCAUCCCACCCUGCUUGAUCAGCAGCAUCCCAAACUGCUCAAGCAGGACCUCUCCAGGCUGCUUGGGCAGGAUCAUCCAAUGUAGAUGGAGCAGAACCUUCCCAUGUUGCCCAAGCAGGACCACCCCAUGUCACUUGAGCAGAACCACUCCAGGCUGCUUGAGUACUGUGGACCAACCCAAAGAGGCUUCCUAAAAAAGCUGCCAGCUCCCAGGCCAGUGAGUGAUCCCUGAGAUGUCCCCUCAGACCCAAGAGCCAGGGAUCUUUCAUCAUCCUUGUUUUCUGUCUCUUAGGCUGGGCCCUGCAGGGGCAGCCCCUUCCAACAGCCUUAUGGCUGCAGUAGGGCACCAGGCUGCUGGCAGUGCUGCCAUGGGGAGGACAGGUUGUCUCUCCAUGCCAAGGGAGCCCAAACCCUGCAGGACCUGCACGCAGGGCCUUUUCAGAGCACCCCUUGUCCCUUGCACAAGGGCCAGCCAGCCUCACCUCCCUGAAAACUCUCCCUUGCCAUGUUGGAGGCUGCCAGCCAUCCCAUGGAGGGGGGAGGAUGUCCUUUCCUAGGGGAUGUCCCACUGCAGGGACAGGGCACCCUACAGGGUGGGCAUGACGUUUGUAAAGCAUUCCUGCCCAUAUGCCUUCCUGGCUGGGAAAUCUGGGGGAGGGUGGAGGGAAUUUGCUACCCGUGUUAGGAACUAGCUGAACUUACAUGUCUCCCCAAGCUGGAUUUCUUAUUCCAAAUGUUCAAACUGUUGUAUAUUGUACUGGGAUUUUUACAUUGAAUUAUUGUAGAAAACAAAAAUUUAAACCAAGUCUGUUAAAAAAUAAAAAGCUCUAUGAAAAAAUAAAUGUUAGCUUG
This is a long non-coding RNA of Lonchura striata (white-rumped munia), 2989 nucleotides long. The record is from Ensembl. NCBI's taxonomy places the organism in Eukaryota, Metazoa, Chordata, Aves, Passeriformes, Estrildidae.